Long non-coding RNA from Trematomus bernacchii (emerald rockcod), 370 nucleotides. RefSeq lists it as uncharacterized. The transcript is spliced from 2 exons. NCBI's taxonomy places the organism in Eukaryota, Metazoa, Chordata, Actinopteri, Perciformes, Nototheniidae. The record is from RefSeq and is a predicted model, not a curated record.
AGGCAGGCAGGCAGCUUUGCAUGACAUUCUUCUGGACGUGUUUCAUUGUGAUGAUAGUGAGGGUGAGUCAGUCUGUUUUUUGGCAAGACAGUAGUUGAGUGAUUACUGAGAGAAAAUUAUUCUAAGUGUUUAAAGUGUUGUGACUGACCUUUUUCUCUUUUCUUUUCUUUGCCUCACCUGUAACUCUGCUGAGACAUUGAGGAACAUGCACACUGGACUGACCUGCUCUGGCAACCUGAUUUCCACUCUCCAUCCAUCACCAUUCUCUGUUCCUGCAGGUCCUGCAGGUCCUGCUUGCUAAUCAAUGCUCAUAUUUUUUACACAAUUACAAAUAAACUCAAUUCAUUGUAUGACAUGAAGUUGUGCUUCA